This 258-nucleotide ribosomal RNA is filed under the name Limosilactobacillus reuteri. Its description in RNAcentral is "Lactobacillus reuteri partial 23S ribosomal RNA". It matches the Rfam family "Bacterial large subunit ribosomal RNA", at positions 580 to 836 of the family's 2925-position model. The record is from RNAcentral. Lineage: Bacteria; Bacillati; Bacillota; Bacilli; Lactobacillales; Lactobacillaceae.
CCCGCUAAUGGGUGACGGCGUGCCCCUUGCAGAAUGAACCCGCGCGUUACGAUUGCCUGCAAGGUUAAGGGGGAAAAACCGGCGCCGUCGCGCAAGCGGGGCUUAAAAGGGCGGAAGAAGUAUGUAGUUGUGAACCCCAAACCAGGGGACCUACCCCUGUCCAGGGGGAAGGUGCGGGAAAGCGCCCCGGGAGACCGACCCCCGGUGCCGUGGAAAAGGGCGGGGGUGGGGGGGGGGGGCGGGGGAAGUCCCAACCGA